Molecule: ribosomal RNA, 748 nt
Filed under: uncultured Natronococcus sp.
Lineage: Archaea; Methanobacteriati; Methanobacteriota; Halobacteria; Halobacteriales; Natrialbaceae
Description: bacterial SSU rRNA
Rfam family: Archaeal small subunit ribosomal RNA
Source: RNAcentral
ACGGCUCAGUAACACGUGGCCAAACUACCCUCUGGAGCGCGACAACCUCGGGAAACUGAGGCUAAUCGUGCAUACCGCUCUCACGCUGGAAGUUGCGGAGAGCUCGAAACGCUCCGGCGCCAGAGGAUGUGGCUGCGGCCGAUUAGGUAGACGGUGGGGUAGCGGCCCACCGUGCCAGUAAUCGGUACGGGUUGUGAGAGCAAGAGCCCGGAGACGGUAUCUGAGACAAGAUACCGGGCCCUACGGGGCGCAGCAGGCGCGAAACCUUUACACUGCACGCCAGUGCGAUAAGGGGACUCCAAGUGCGAGGGCAUAGAGCCCUCGCUUUUCUGUACCGUAAGGUGGUACAAGAAUAAGUGCUGGGCAAGACCGGUGCCAGCCGCCGCGGUAAUACCGGCAGCACGAGUGAUGGCCGCUCUUAUUGGGCCUAAAGCGUCCGUAGCUGGCCGCGCAAGUCCAUCGGGAAAUCCGCACGCCUAACGUGCGGGCGUCCGGUGGAAACUGCGUGGCUUGGGACCGGAAGAUCCAGAGGGUACGUCCGGGGUAGGAGUGAAAUCCUGUAAUCCUGGACGGACCACCGGUGGCGAAAGCGCUCUGGAAAGACGGAUCCGACGGUGAGGGACGAAAGCUCGGGUCACGAACCGGAUUAGAUACCCGGGUAGUCCGAGCUGUAAACGAUGUCUGCUAGGUGUGCCACAGGCUACGAGCCUGUGGUGUGCCGUAGGGAAGCCGUGAAGCAGACCGCCUC